AGUGAACGCUGGCGGUAGGCCUAACACAUGCAAGUCGAACGGCAGCACAGUAAGAGCUUGCUCUUACGGGUGGCGAGUGGCGGACAGGUGAGGAAUACAUCGGAAUCUACUUUUUCGUGGGGGAUAACGUAGGGAAACUUACGCUAAUACCGCAUACGACCUACGGGUGAAAGCAGGGGAUCUUCGGACCUUGCGCGAUUGAAUGAGCCGAUGUCGGAUUAGCUAGUUGGCGGGGUAAGGGCCCACCAAGGCGACGAUCCGUAGCUGGUCUGAGAGGAUGAUCAGCCACACUGGAACUGAGACACGGUCCAGACUCCUACGGGAGGCAGCAGUGGGGAAUAUUGGACAAUGGGCGCAAGCCUGAUCCAGCCAUACCGCGUGGGUGAAGAAGGCCUUCGGGUUGUAAAGCCCUUUUGUUGGGAAAGAAAAGCAGCAGGUUAAUACCCCGCUGUUCUGACGGUACCCAAAGAAUAAGCACCGGCUAACUUCGUG
Molecule: ribosomal RNA, 492 nt
Filed under: uncultured bacterium
Lineage: Bacteria
Description: partial 16S ribosomal RNA
Rfam family: Bacterial small subunit ribosomal RNA
Source: RNAcentral